RNAcentral lists this ribosomal RNA (143 nucleotides) under uncultured eukaryote. Its description in RNAcentral is "partial 18S ribosomal RNA". It matches the Rfam family "Eukaryotic small subunit ribosomal RNA", at positions 1299 to 1458 of the family's 1831-position model. The record is from RNAcentral.
UGGUGGAGUGAUUUGUCUGGUUAAUUCCGUUAACGAACGAGACCUCGACCUGCUAAAUAGUACGUUGUAUUCUUUGGAUAUUGAUGGCACUUCUUAGAGGGACUAUCGGUUGGUGUACCCGAUGGAAGUUCGAGGCAAUAACA